CCUACGGGAGGCAGCAGUGAGGAAUAUUGGUCAAUGGCCGGAAGGCUGAACCAGCCAUGCCGCGUGAAGGUCAGUGCCCUAUGGGCGUUAAACUUCUUUUGUGCGGGAGCAAUAAUGGUCACGUGUGCCCAGACGAGAGUACCGUACGAAUAAGCAUCGGCUAACUCCGUGCCAGCAGCCGCGGUAAUACGGGGGAUGCAAGCGUUAUCCGGAUUUAUUGGGUUUAAAGGGUGCGUAGGCUGUGAGGUAAGUCAGCGGUGAAAUGCCCCCGCUCAACGGGGUGAAGUGCCAUUGAUACUGCCUGGCUGGAAGGCGGAUGCCGUGGGAGGAAUGUGUGGUGUAGCGGUGAAAUGCAUAGAUAUCACACAGAACACCGAUUGCGAAGGCAUCUCACGAAUCCGCGAUUGACGCUGAUGCACGAAAGCGUGGGUAUCAAACAGGAUUAGAUACCCCAGUAGUC
This 460-nucleotide ribosomal RNA is filed under the name uncultured bacterium. Its description in RNAcentral is "partial 16S ribosomal RNA". It matches the Rfam family "Bacterial small subunit ribosomal RNA", at positions 338 to 795 of the family's 1533-position model. The record is from RNAcentral.